UCUAGACAGAGGUACAGGCGCAUGGCAGGG
RNAcentral lists this non-coding RNA (30 nucleotides) under Homo sapiens (human). Lineage: Eukaryota; Metazoa; Chordata; Mammalia; Primates; Hominidae. The record is from RNAcentral.